AAAAAAAAAAAAAAGACUCAGAUACAAAUUACUUGCAGAUACAAAAUACUUUCAAACCCACUCUUGUAAUUUCGUAUAGCUGCUAGGUAGAAUGCUGCUCUUGGAGAAGAUUAACUUUGUGGGUAUCCAUGUAACAAACAACUGGAUUUGAUAUACUGAGUGUCCCAAAGAAAAAAAAUAUAAUACUGGCAUACUUUACUAAUUCGUACAGCUAAUUUCUCUCAUCCAAGAUUGUGAUGAACUGCUGGAGCUACAGGGUUAAAACCAACAAGUCUCCAGCAGCGUCAGACCAGCUGCUUUCACGUGCUCUCUGUUCACCUCAGUGCAGCAAUGUCAGAGUACUGACCUUCCACUGACGUGCAUCACAUAAAUAAGCCAAACUCCUGUCUUCCCUUCAAUGGCAACAACAUACUGCUUCUGGCAUCAUGCUGAUCAUGUGGAAGCAGAUAUCCUACCUGUGUUCCUACUGAGGUAAAAUGAGUCAAGCUACUCCAGUACAUUUCCAUUUACUUUUUGGGUCUGUAUAGUGGAACCCCACAUUUGGGUGUGACCCACUCCACUGAGAAGUCCCAGCAUGCACUGGACUUCCAUCAUCAUCUGUGUCCACACUCUGCGCCGGACAGUGGAAUCUACCUGCAAACAU
This is a long non-coding RNA of Pezoporus flaviventris, 643 nucleotides long. RefSeq lists it as uncharacterized. The transcript has 3 exons. NCBI's taxonomy places the organism in Eukaryota, Metazoa, Chordata, Aves, Psittaciformes, Psittacidae. The record is from RefSeq and is a predicted model, not a curated record.